This 274-nucleotide ribosomal RNA is filed under the name uncultured bacterium. RNAcentral's name for it is "partial 16S ribosomal RNA". It matches the Rfam family "Bacterial small subunit ribosomal RNA", at positions 523 to 796 of the family's 1533-position model. The record is from RNAcentral.
AUACGGAGGGGGCUAGCGUUGUUCGGAAUCACUGGGCGUAAAGCGCGCGUAGGCGGAUUGGUCAGUUGGGGGUGAAAUCCCGAGGCUCAACCUCGGAACUGCCUCCAAAACUGCCAGUCUCGAGUCCGAGAGAGGUGAGUGGAAUUCCGAGUGUAGAGGUGAAAUUCGUAGAUAUUCGGAGGAACACCAGUGGCGAAGGCGACUCACUGGCCCGGUACUGACGCUGAGGUGCGAAAGCGUGGGGAGCAAACAGGAUUAGAUACCCUAGUAGUCC